CCUACGGGGGGCAGCAGUGGGGAAUAUUGCACAAUGGGGGGAACCCUGAUGCAGCGACGCCGCGUGAGUGAAGAAGUAUUUCGGUAUGUAAAGCUCUAUCAGCAGGGAAGAUAAUGACGGUACCUGACUAAGAAGCCCCGGCUAACUACGUGCCAGCAGCCGCGGUAAUACGUAGGGGGCAAGCGUUAUCCGGAUUUACUGGGUGUAAGGGGAGCGUAGACGGCCAGACAAGUCAGAAGUGAAAGCCCAGGGCUCAACCCUGGGACUGCUUUUGAAACUACCGAACUAGAGUGUCGGAGAGGUAA
Molecule: ribosomal RNA, 305 nt
Filed under: uncultured bacterium
Lineage: Bacteria
Description: bacterial SSU rRNA
Rfam family: Bacterial small subunit ribosomal RNA
Source: RNAcentral